AAGAGUGCAGUGAUGAAGUAAUUUUUUGUGGACUAGAGUUUUUGAUUUGGGUUUUUCCCAGUAGUUGAAGACUAACCCUUGGCUGUUUGGAUAUUUUU
RNAcentral lists this small nucleolar RNA (98 nucleotides) under Theobroma cacao (cacao). RNAcentral describes it as "Small nucleolar RNA Z157/R69/R10". It matches the Rfam family "Small nucleolar RNA Z157/R69/R10". Rfam says of the family: Z157, R69 and R10 are members of the C/D class of snoRNA which contain the C (UGAUGA) and D (CUGA) box motifs. Lineage: Eukaryota; Viridiplantae; Streptophyta; Magnoliopsida; Malvales; Malvaceae. The record is from Rfam by way of RNAcentral.